GGUAGCUCAGUGGUAGAGCGCUUGCCUUCCAUGCGUGAGGCCCUGGGUUCGAUUCCUCAGUACCA
This 65-nucleotide transfer RNA is filed under the name Dipodomys ordii (Ord's kangaroo rat). It matches the Rfam family "tRNA". Rfam says of the family: Transfer RNA (tRNA) molecules are approximately 80 nucleotides in length. Their secondary structure includes four short double-helical elements and three loops (D, anti-codon, and T loops). Lineage: Eukaryota; Metazoa; Chordata; Mammalia; Rodentia; Heteromyidae. The record is from Rfam by way of RNAcentral.